Molecule: ribosomal RNA, 371 nt
Filed under: uncultured bacterium
Lineage: Bacteria
Description: bacterial SSU rRNA
Rfam family: Bacterial small subunit ribosomal RNA
Source: RNAcentral
GUAGGGUGCGAGCGUUAAUCGGAAUUACUGGGCGUAAAGCGUGCGCAGGCGGUUAUGUAAGACAGGUGUGAAAUCCCCGGGCUUAACCUGGGAACUGCGCUUGUGACUGCAUAACUCGAGUGUGGCAGAGGGGGGUGGAAUUCCACGUGUAGCAGUGAAAUGCGUAGAGAUGUGGAGGAACACCGAUGGCGAAGGCAGCCCCCUGGGUCAACACUGACGCUCAUGCACGAAAGCGUGGGGAGCAAACAGGAUUAGAUACCCUGGUAGUCCACGCCCUAAACGAUGCGAACUAGGUGUUGGGGAAGGAGACUUUCUUAGUACCGCAGCUAACGCGUGAAGUUCGCCGCCUGGGGAGUACGGUCGCAAGAUUA